Molecule: long non-coding RNA, 1400 nt
Organism: Xenopus laevis (African clawed frog)
Lineage: Eukaryota; Metazoa; Chordata; Amphibia; Anura; Pipidae
Exons: 4
Source: RefSeq, a predicted model, not a curated record
GUGGCAGAAUGUCUUGGUUUGCCACUGUAAGUUGAAUGGGGUGAAUGUCCAUCACUGUUUUUUACUGUGCAUAAACAAAUGUGACCCGUAUGUUUGCAACUAGAAGUAUGGGCAGCAAAGCAAGAAAGUAAAAUUUAUUAGUUAGUCUCCCACAACAGAGCAUUAGGAUAGCUUUAAAAUAUCAGCAUGGCUAACAUAAUCAAUCCAGGACAUCCAGCAUGUUCAGUAUCUGGUGAUUUAUUUUGUAUAAACCCUGGACAUGAUCUGCUCAAUUAAAAUUUUGUUUCAGUAUUAUUAACACUGUAUUUCUUUAAUCAGCAGUUAGUAAGAAUGAAGUGGAGAGGCUCAUCAUACUUUAGUGCGGUGCCCUACUGAUUCCAGUACAAGGCCCAAACAUCCUGCACAAUACAUUUGAUAUCACUGAUAAUAUGAUCAUGGACAGUGAGUGAAAUGUAAAGAAUCAGUUAUUGAACCUUUUGACAAUGCUUUAACUCCUUCAUCUUUUAGUGUUUCGAGGAUUUCACAAAGAUAAUAACAGCUACAUCAGCGUUACAGAAUGAGUAGAAAGACUGUCAGUAAUUUUUACAUGAGACUCUAGAAGAAAAGAUCAAAGGUAAAAAAAUCUACCCAGCACAAAUCUCCCAUUCUAAAAGAUAUCUUUACUUAGAGCAUUAUGACCACAACAGCAAAUUGUCCUAUACAGAUUUUGAAAAAGCUGUACAAAAAGAAAAUCUUCUGCUGGAGGCAUCAGGACCUUGUCUUCCAGGUCCUGUGCAUGGGAGCAGAACAGAAUGACUUACCUGUUGAGUAUUGGAAGAUGCUGCAAGACAUAGAAACCAACAACUUCUCUGGCCACAUUCCUAUCAUGGACCAGCUAAAAGAUGCAACUGAGAAACUGCAAAGUGCUUUGUAUCAGUAAUGGAAAUGAAGAGAAACUGAACUUACUGUCAGCCUCUGACCUGUUGUGAAAGAGACUGGACAACAAUUGUAAAACAAGCGACUCCCUUCAGGGACUGGGUGGUUCAUUUGAUCUUUAUUUGCUUGGAAAUCAAAAAGAAUCAUUAUACAUUUUAUUGAUAGGUUUCCCCUCUGGGGACACUAGAGGGGUCAUUUAUCAGUCAUGGUGCAGGUGCAGAAAUUGUGCACCCUGUAUCGUGGGGGAGCAAGCACACCUGCACUUUCUGCAGAAAUACAGCACUCACUAUAUAACAGCAGUUUUUUUAUAUAAUUCAUUCUCUAAGUAACUUUACACAUACGUAACUGCGUCUGUUAUGGAUGCUUUUUAUUUGUGAGACAGAUUGCUGUUUAAAAUGUACAGAAUAUAACAGAAUGUACAGUAAUAUAAUGGUAUCCUUUUGUGUUCUCAUACUUUAAUAGAAAUAAAUAUUUUGUGUAUUUGU